GGGCGCGUGGCCUAGCCAGGAUAGGGCGGCAGCCUCCUAAGCUGUAGUUCGGGGGUUCAAGUCCCUCCGCGCCCG
Molecule: transfer RNA, 75 nt
Filed under: Methermicoccus shengliensis
Lineage: Archaea; Methanobacteriati; Methanobacteriota; Methanomicrobia; Methanosarcinales; Methermicoccaceae
Description: tRNA-Arg
Rfam family: tRNA
About the family: Transfer RNA (tRNA) molecules are approximately 80 nucleotides in length. Their secondary structure includes four short double-helical elements and three loops (D, anti-codon, and T loops).
Source: RNAcentral